RNAcentral lists this long non-coding RNA (303 nucleotides) under Rattus norvegicus (Norway rat). RNAcentral describes it as "long non-coding RNA NONRATT031521". Lineage: Eukaryota; Metazoa; Chordata; Mammalia; Rodentia; Muridae. The record is from RNAcentral.
CACCCACAGUGGGUGGGUCUUCCCAUCACAACUGAAUCUCAAUCAAGAUAAUUCUUCACAGUCGUGCCCAGAGGUCCCACUCCAGAUUCCAUGGAACCUACCACCAACAGCCACCAUGGGAAGGAGGGAUUCUCCCAAAUUCCUGGAGAAUGGUCAUCGAGUGGGGAAGGGAUGCAGCCUUGGCUAAUGGCAGCAUCCUCUACCUCUUUUAGAAAGUGGAAGACCCUGGUGGACAAAGAUGGAGGAGAUUUUAAUAAUGUGGUAAGGAUCUUAAUUUAGGAGUUGAGGCUGUACGUUCUGCUC